AACGAACGCUGGCGGCAGGCCUAACACAUGCAAGUCGAGCGCCCCGCAAGGGGAGCGGCGGACGGGUGAGUAACGCGUGGGAACGUGCCCCUUUCUACGGAAUAGCCUCGGGAAACUGAGAGUAAUACCGUAUAAGCCCUAUGGGGGAAAGAUUUAUCGGGAAGGGAUCGGCCCGCGUUGGAUUAGGUAGUUGGUGGGGUAAUGGCCCACCAAGCCGACGAUCCAUAGCUGGUUUGAGAGGAUGAUCAGCCACACUGGGACUGAGACACGGCCCAGACUCCUACGGGAGGCAGCAGUGGGGAAUCUUAGACAAUGGGCGCAAGCCUGAUCUAGCCAUGCCGCGUGAGCGAUGAAGGCCUUAGGGUUGUAAAGCUCUUUCGUGGGGGAAGAUAAUGACUGUACCCCAAGAAGAAGCCCCGGCUAACUCCGUGCCAGCCGCCGCAGUAA
RNAcentral lists this ribosomal RNA (447 nucleotides) under uncultured bacterium. RNAcentral's name for it is "partial 16S ribosomal RNA". It matches the Rfam family "Bacterial small subunit ribosomal RNA", at positions 29 to 523 of the family's 1533-position model. The record is from RNAcentral.